This 452-nucleotide long non-coding RNA is filed under the name Felis catus (domestic cat). RNAcentral describes it as "lncRNA (ENSFCAG00000053089.1)". Lineage: Eukaryota; Metazoa; Chordata; Mammalia; Carnivora; Felidae. The record is from RNAcentral.
GUCAAAAUACCGGUUAUGACUUAAUUAACUUAAAUGUGUGUCUAUAUGACAUUUAGGUUAGUAUGAUGAUUAUCCCUAUGGGCUUAUUUGUUUUUAUAGCUAUGCACACUUUUCAUUCUUGAGAACCCCAAGGAACAAAAUGUUAUUGGCAUCCUCUCCAGCAACAAAGAACAGCUGCAUCUGUUUGGGACAUUUCCCAGGCCGCUCCUUCCUCCAUGUGUGAUGGAUACCGUUGAUCUGUCGACCCAGCCCUGAAGAGGGAGCUUGGAUUCUCACCAGCCUCCUUUGCCAGCACUCAUGCAGCUGCUGGGUAUGCCAGAACCAGAGGAUAAAGAUGGAAAGACAAGAACUGCUGGGGCCAUUUUGCUGCUAGGAUGGAAAGAGCUCAAGGAGGAAGCCAAUGCGAAGAGACGUGUGCAGCUAAGUGGAUCCCAGUCUGAGGAGUGGGGUAC